This 105-nucleotide ribosomal RNA is filed under the name Mesocricetus auratus (golden hamster). The record is from RNAcentral. Lineage: Eukaryota; Metazoa; Chordata; Mammalia; Rodentia; Cricetidae.
GUCUACAACUAUACCACUUUCAAAAUAUUUCAUUUCAUCUGAUCUAGGAGGCUGAGGAGGGUUGGUCCUGCUUAGUACAUGGAUGGGAGAAUUUAUGAUGUGCCC